GCCAUUAUCAUUAUUUUCACUUCAUCUUCAUCACGAAACAAAACAAAAGAAAACAAAGAAACAAAGCUAGGGUAUUCGGCCAUUGUUGAGCUUGAUUCAAGAUCGAGAAUCGAAGAAACCAGAAUUAGAUCGAGGGAAGUCGAAAGUGGUUGAUUAGUCAAUUUCGUCUGUCGAUUUCCGAGUUCGAUGACAGACACGGGUUAAGGGUGUUACAUGGAACAUAUAGAGAAGCCCAUCUACUUGAAGCCUUGUGACCCAAUGGAGCACUUCAGUAAAACUAGAGUUACUAUGGUUAAUAUUUGUGAACUUAAGAGAUAAGAUUGUAUAGAGUUUAAAUCCCUUAGGACUCUCAUCUUGUAGAUAAGCUUUAAUCUUAACUGUCAAUGUAAUUUAAACUGUAUUGUUGGAUUUGGGAGAGCUUAACCAUAUUUAGAGGCCUUGCCUCUCAAUUGUAAUCCCAUUCAUAAUUAUUGAAUAUAUUUGAGAGCAUUUACUCAAA
This is a long non-coding RNA of Gossypium raimondii (Peruvian cotton), 499 nucleotides long. RefSeq lists it as uncharacterized. The transcript is spliced from 3 exons. The record is from RefSeq and is a predicted model, not a curated record. Lineage: Eukaryota; Viridiplantae; Streptophyta; Magnoliopsida; Malvales; Malvaceae.